GCCAACUAGAUGGCUGGCUGCUGGUGUGCAGCGCUCUCUUUCUCUCUCUCCUUCGCCCCCCCUGUGGGAAGAGGGAGGCGGGCAAUGGAGAGGGGGAAGCGGAGCGCGAGGAGAAGGAGGAAGGAAGAAGAAGAAGAAGAAGAAGAAGAAGAAGAAGAAGAAGAAGAAGAAGAAGAAGAAGAAGAAGAGAGGCGCCCCCCCACUUGCCCCCUUUCUUCCUCCUGGGUUUGCAGCUCUGCUUGCAGGGUCCCCCUACCCGCCCGAGCCUUAUAGAGUUGUCCUCCCUUAGGUGCACCUCUCAGAGUUCUGCUUACAAAACGCAUGCCAUUUUGAAGUCCUGGGAGUUUUAAAGCAAUUUCCAAGCAAUUCACAGGAGCCUCAUCAUCAGCCAUUGCAAGCUCUGCUUCACUGAACCGAGAAUAAAAAAUUAACAGGAAAUAAACUGAAAUGCUGCCUCCAGAUGGGGAUAGAAGCCCUUGAGACAGAGACAGAGGCCCUGUUGUCAUCUUUCCUCUGGGAACUGCAUCAGUCAGAAAAUAUAUAAUAAUACAUCACUACUUGGUGCUAAAUUUUCAAUAAACAUUAUCUGUGACUAAUGUGGAACACCUGUGAAGAGAAUAGAGAGUGCAUCGUCUGGUAGAGGAGAAAAACGGAGGUAGCUGGGCAGCUCAAAACAGAUUUACUUUUCCUUCCCUGGAUGAACCCUAAAAUUUGUUGAAUGCACCAGGCAGUGUCCAUCCAGCUACAGUUCUGUUCCUACUGCCUGGGAAGUUAACAGGGUGGAACUGAAUUCUGAGUAGACACACAACAACACAUACACACACACACACACACACACACACGACAACUUGAGGGAAGGUAGUAUUCACAGUAUAAAUUAAUGAAUAUAAUGAAAAAGCUUUCCUUCAUAGCAGUGUAAAUGGAACCCUUCACAGCAAAAGUUCAUUUGCUCAUUCCUCUGCUUAACUGAUUUAUAUUUAGAACCAUUUUUAACAGGAAGAAAUAAUAGUAAAAGAUUAGGACAGAAGAUGUAAGACCAAGAAAUCAAGAUCUGUGACUGUAACAUAGAUUAAUGCAGAAUAAUUUUUUUAAACUGUCUGAAAGGUUUUGGAAGAAUUGACAAUAUUGGAUUAAUGUAAAGAAAACUGAAUAAUAAUUUGUAUAGAUCAUAAUUAGAAAUAAAAUGACUGGUAGAAAUAUCUAGAUUUCUGAUUAGCUAUAAAAUAUUUGAGAAUAGUAUUUUUCAUUAAGGAUGAAGUACUACAACAGCUGAAAUGAUAGAAUGGAAUAUAAGAUUAAGGCAAAAUUGUAGCUUUAAAGAUGGAGCUAUUAACUAGAAUUAUUUUUCCUUUGCAAUAUAUACUUAUAGCAGCAACAGAAAAAAGAAUGAGUGUAUGGCAGUGAAUAAUUGAUCAUUUUGUUUGAUAUGACAAGAAGCUGAGGUUAAAAUCAAAUAUGAGGAGGAAAAUAAUAUCUUCAUGGAAGAACAGGCAGGAUUUAAUAGUGAUUUCUCUACUUUUCAUGGUUUUGUGUUGAAGGGCAGAAAGAGAUGAUUGUCUGCAGCAUUUGGGGAUUUGAAACCUUGCUUUUGAUGCAUUGAUCAUGUUUAUUAUAUGAAUGAUAAAACAAUCUUUUCUACAGCAACCAGAGGGGGGGAACCUCCUGUCUUACUAAAUGCAUAUGGCAUAGUCCUCUUGUUUGCUGUUUAAUAAGGAUAUCAAUAUAGUCUUACAGACCUUUUGGGGUACAAAGUUGGACUGAGGGGGUCCUCUUGGUAGUUCCUCCCCCCUCGGAGGCUGGGGGAUGGCCCUGGAGAGGGCCCUCUCUGUGGUGCCUCCUAAAUUGUGAGCUCCACUCUCCACAGAGGUCUGUGUAGCAUCUUCACUAUAUGGCUCCCAGGAAAUGCUGAAGGCACAGCUCUGUGCCCUGGUCUUUGGCACUCAAGAAGAAAAGGCUAAGGAGUAAACCCUACACAGAUCUGGAGUGGAGUGGUUGGGUGGCGCAUUACAUGCCCCCUUCCAGCAACUCCUGCCGCCAAGUGGGUGCCAAACGUCUUGCUCUGCUUUGCAAGGCCAGGGGUCUUGUCAUCUGGGCAGCCCAGGACCUCCAGACACAGGGCCCAGGCUUGCACCCCAGAGAAGUCACUACAGUGCAAAAAGCCGUUCUGAGUUGCCGGUCUCUACAGCCGCAGCGGGUGCUGUGAUUCUCUGGUGGUUUGACUUUGCCCUGGGAGGGGUGCCCCAUUGCCCCUCAAGACGGAUGGAUGAUGCCAGCAGCAAGUUGUUUUAAAAUGUUUUUAGUAUUGUGCUUAGAUUGUAAUCCAUUUUGGGACAUCUGGUUGAAGGUCGGGUAAAUAAUAAUAAGAUUGAAAAGAGCUGUUACCUUCUUAAUAACACUAGUCAAGGCAUGUGUGGAAUUUUAUAAAAUCAGUGUAAGAAUUCUGUUGGAGAGACUGGAUUAUUUCACUUACGUUCCUUUUAUUUUUAUAUGCUUUGUUAUAGUUGUUCUUGUUUAGUCCCAGUCUUGUUCUUGUGGCCCAGGAGAGGACCACAUCAUUCAGCAACGCUGAAGAUACGCCCGGCUGUCCUGUUUUCAGGACCCACCCUAUGCCUGUGAGUGUAAUUUGUUUUUAAUACUGGAAUUUAAAUUGCUGUAACCUG
Long non-coding RNA from Podarcis muralis (Common wall lizard), 2660 nucleotides. RefSeq lists it as uncharacterized. Lineage: Eukaryota; Metazoa; Chordata; Lepidosauria; Squamata; Lacertidae. The record is from RefSeq and is a predicted model, not a curated record.